This 897-nucleotide ribosomal RNA is filed under the name uncultured bacterium. Its description in RNAcentral is "bacterial SSU rRNA". It matches the Rfam family "Bacterial small subunit ribosomal RNA", at positions 8 to 916 of the family's 1533-position model. The record is from RNAcentral.
AGAGUUUGAUUCAUGGCUCAGAAUGAACGUUGGCGGCGUGGAUUAGGCAUGCAAGUCGAACGGGCCUGGUUUUCGGAUCAGGUCAGUGGCGCAAGGGUGAGUAAGGCGACGGUAACCAACCCCAGGGUUGGGUAUAGCCGCGGGAAACUGCGGGUAAUCCCCAGCGAUGUAAGAUGCCGGCAUCGGUGUCUUAUCAAAACUUUGGCGCCGUGGGACGGGCCGUCGUGGUAUUAGGUAGUUGGCGGGGUAACGGCCCACCAAGCCGAUGAUGCCUACCGGGCGUGCGAGCGUGGCCCGGCACACUGGGACUGAGACACUGCCCAGACUCCUACGGGAGGCUGCAGUCGAGAAUCUUCGGCAAUGGGCGCAAGCCUGACCGAGCGACGCCGCGUGGAGGAUGAAGGCCUUCGGGUUGUAAACUCCUGUCGAGGGGGAGGAAGGGGAAACCUUGACCGAUCCCUGGAGGAAGCACGGGCUAAGUUCGUGCCAGCAGCCGCGGUAAGACGAACCGUGCGAACGUUAUUCGGAAUCACUGGGCUUAAAGCGCGUGUAGGCGGAUGGGAACGUCGGAAACUGAAAGCCCCCGGCUCAACCGGGGAAGUGGUGCCGAAACGACCUGUCUGGAGGGACGUAGGGGGAUCUGGAACUUCCGGUGGAGCGGUGAAAUGCGUUGAGAUCGGAAGGAACGCCCGUGGCGAAAGCGAGGUCCUGGACGUCUGCUGACGCUGAGACGCGAAAGCUAGGGGAGCAAACGGGAUUAGAUACCCCGGUAGUCCUAGCCGUAAACGAUGGGCACUGGGUAGGGGGCUCGCCGAUGGGCUCCCUGCCGUAGCGAAAGCGUGAAGUGCCCCGCCUGGGGAGUAUGGUCGCAAGGCUGAAACUCAAAGGAAUUGACGG